Non-coding RNA from Cinara cedri, 228 nucleotides. Lineage: Eukaryota; Metazoa; Arthropoda; Insecta; Hemiptera; Aphididae. The record is from the annotation of a GenBank genome assembly.
AACCACAGCCCAUUGGCGGCAAAUCCAUUAAUCAGAUAUCGCAGCGGCUGUUUUUUCGUCGGAAUUUCCGAAAAAAAGUAACAACUCGCUAGGUCGUUUGGUAGCACAGGGUACGUCACAACGCCGAUGCAUAAUGAUAUUAUAAUAUAUUCCGAUACGAAAACUAGAAAACGACCGACAGCCCGCGUACGCUUCCGAGAACUGAUUUACAAAAUCGAAUUCGAAUAC